RNA transcript from Fragaria vesca subsp. vesca, 1970 nucleotides. It is a transcript of the gene named aspartic proteinase nepenthesin-1-like, with no coding region annotated. NCBI's taxonomy places the organism in Eukaryota, Viridiplantae, Streptophyta, Magnoliopsida, Rosales, Rosaceae. The record is from RefSeq and is a predicted model, not a curated record. The transcript is spliced from 3 exons.
AUGGUUCUGGAUAUUUUCACGUAAUUCAUUAUAAUUGUUCUUUGUCAAAUUAGUCUCGAGUCUUUGAAUCACAGCCACAGCAACCACAGCCCCAAUGGCUCAACUCUCGCCGGAAUAGAGUUCCCGGAGCACAUGAGCUUCAAUGCUGUGUCCUCUUCAUCCCACACCGCCUGUAGCUUUGUAAAGUCAGAGUCAACAACUACAGAAUCAUCGCCCAAUGAAGAAUCUGAUGAUGAAGAAGAUGAAGAUGAAGAAGCAGUUGGUUCUCAUAAACAAUCUGUGAAGCUCCACUUGAGGCAUGAAAAGAAAUCUGUUUUCGAGUCCACCGUCAAAGACUUGACCAGAAUUCAAACUCUGCACACCAGAAUUGUCGAGAGGAAGAACCAGAACACCAUUUCAAGGCUACACAAAGACAAGAAGGUCCCCACAAAGGAGGAGGUUGUUGUCGUUGCUCCGGCAGCCUCACCGGAGUCUUAUGUCAGCGCCAGCGAGCUUCCGGGACAGCUGGAGGCGACGUUGAAGUCCGGGGUGAGUCUUGGCUCAGGAGAGUACUUCAUGGAUGUUUUCAUUGGUACACCUCCUAAACACUUUUCUUUGAUACUUGAUACUGGUAGUGACCUCAAUUGGAUUCAAUGUGCACCUUGCUAUGAUUGUUUUGAGCAAAACGGACCGCAUUAUGAUCCGAAAGACUCAACUUCAUUUAGCAAUAUAGGCUGCCAUGAUCCGAGGUGUCAGUUGGUUUCGUCUCCUGACCCUCCUCAGCCUUGCAAAGCUGAGAAUCAGACAUGUCCUUAUUUCUAUUGGUAUGGAGAUAGUUCUAACACAACUGGGGAUUUUGCUCUUGAAACAUUUACUGUUAAUCUUACAUCGCCUGCUGGGAAGGCUGAGUAUCGGAAAGUUGAGAAUGUGAUGUUUGGUUGUGGCCAUUGGAAUAGAGGCUUGUUCCAUGGGGCUGCAGGGUUGUUGGGACUAGGGAGAGGGCCUCUCUCCUUUGCUUCUCAGCUUCAAUCACUAUAUGGUCAUUCGUUUUCGUAUUGUCUUGUUGAUAGAAACAGCGAUACGAAUGUUAGCAGCAAGUUGAUAUUUGGGGAGGACAAGGCCUUAUUGAGCCACCCGCAACUGAAUUACACAUCCUUGGUUGCUGGCAAAGAUAACCCUGUUGAUACAUUUUACUAUGUUCAGAUCAAAUCUAUCCUAGUUGGAGGAGAAGUGGUAAACAUACCGGAGGAGACUUGGAAAUUGUCAUCAGAAGGGGCAGGAGGUACAAUCAUUGAUUCAGGCACUACAUUGAGUUACUUUGCGGAUCCUGCAUAUGAUAUCAUCAAGGAGGCAUUUUUGAAAAAAAUUAAAGGGUAUCCGGUAGUGAAGGACUUUCCGGUUUUGGAUCCUUGCUACAAUGUGUCUGGAGUUGAGAAACUGGAGCUACCAGAAUUUGCAAUUGUGUUUGCAGAUGGAGCUGUUUGGGAUUUCCCAGUUGAGAACUACUUCAUCCAAAUUGAACCUCAAGAGGUUGUUUGCUUAGCGAUGUUGGGGACUCCAAAAUCUGCUCUUUCGAUUAUUGGUAACUAUCAGCAGCAGAAUUUUCACAUCCUCUAUGACACAAAGAAGUCUAGGCUGGGAUAUGCACCAAUGAAUUGCGCUGAUGUUUAACAAUCUUUGCUAGAUGGUGGAGAAACUUUGUCAACAUGGUAGUCUGGGAGGGCGGCACAAUUUUUUCUCUUCUUUUUAAUCUUUUUUCCUCUUAUUGAAAAUGAUCAGAGGUAAACAUACACAGAAAUUAGAUUCAUUGUUUUUUCCUUUCUUCUAUUGAUAGCCAAUUAGCUAGACAGGAUCAUAAUCUGUACUGUAACCAGAAGCAUCAAUGCUAUUUGUACACAUUUUAAACAGGUUUCAGCUUCUUACUUGCAUAAAUUUAUAGUUUAUAGUUUGAUAUUGUUCCACAGGUUAAGACCAGAAGUUUUACUCAGAAA